CAGCAGCCGCGGUAAUACGUAGGGUGCGAGCUUUAAUCGGAUUUACUGGGCGUAAAGCGUGCGCAGGCGGCCCGUUAAGACAGGUGUGAAAUCCCUGGGCUCAACCUAGGAAUUGCGCUUGUGACUGGCGGGCUCGAGUACGGUAGAGGGGGGUGGAAUUCCUGGUGUAGCAGUGAAAUGCGUAGAGAUCAGGAGGAACACCGAUGGCGAAGGCAGCCCCCUGGGCCUGUACUGACGCUCAUGCACGAAAGCGUGGGGAGCAAACAGGAUUAGAUACCCGGGUAGUCCACGCCGUAAACGAUGGGUACUAGCCGUUUGGUGCGCGAUAGCGCUGAGUGGCGAAGCUAACGCGUGAAGUACCCCGCCUGGGGAGUACGGCCGCAAGGUUGAAACUUAAAGGAAUUGGCGGG
This 410-nucleotide ribosomal RNA is filed under the name uncultured microorganism. RNAcentral describes it as "bacterial SSU rRNA". It matches the Rfam family "Bacterial small subunit ribosomal RNA", at positions 509 to 917 of the family's 1533-position model. The record is from RNAcentral.